Molecule: ribosomal RNA, 465 nt
Filed under: uncultured bacterium
Lineage: Bacteria
Description: bacterial SSU rRNA
Rfam family: Bacterial small subunit ribosomal RNA
Source: RNAcentral
AGAGUUUGAUUAUGGCUCAGAACGAACGCUGGCGGCAGGCUUAACACAUGCAAGUCGAACGCACCGCAAGGUGAGUGGCAGACGGGUGAGUAACGCGUGGGAACCUUCCCUUUGGUACGGAAUAACUUCGGGAAACCGAAGCUAAUACCGUAUAUCUCCUCCGGGAGAAAGAUUUUAUCGCCAAAGGAUGGGCCCCGCGUUGGAUUAGCUAGUUGGUAGGGUAAUGGCCUACCAAGGCGACGAUCCAUAGCUGGUCUGAGAGGAUGAUCAGCCACACUGGGACUGAGACACGGCCCAGACUCCUACGGGAGGCAGCAGUGGGGAAUAUUGGACAAUGGGCGCAAGCCUGAAUCCAGCCAUGCCGCGUGAGUGAAGAAGGCCUUAGGGUUGUAAAGCUCUUUUGGCGGGGACGAUAAUGACGGUACCCGCAGAAUAAGCCCCGGCUAACUUCGUGCCAGCCGCAGC